Molecule: ribosomal RNA, 1343 nt
Filed under: uncultured bacterium
Lineage: Bacteria
Description: 16S ribosomal RNA
Rfam family: Bacterial small subunit ribosomal RNA
Source: RNAcentral
GACGAACGCUGGCGGCGUGCUUAACACAUGCAAGUCGAACGGAAAGGCCCUGCUUUUGUGGGGUGCUCGAGUGGCGAACGGGUGAGUAACACGUGAGUAACCUGCCCUUGACUUUGGGAUAACUUCAGGAAACUGGGGCUAAUACCGGAUAGGAGCUCCUGCUGCAUGGUGGGGGUUGGAAAGUUUCGGCGGUUGGGGAUGGACUCGCGGCUUAUCAGCUUGUUGGUGGGGUAGUGGCUUACCAAGGCUUUGACGGGUAGCCGGCCUGAGAGGGUGACCGGCCACAUUGGGACUGAGAUACGGCCCAGACUCCUACGGGAGGCAGCAGUGGGGAAUAUUGCACAAUGGGCGGAAGCCUGAUGCAGCAACGCCGCGUGCGGGAUGACGGCCUUCGGGUUGUAAACCGCUUUCGCCUGUGACGAAGCGUGAGUGACGGUAAUGGGUAAAGAAGCACCGGCUAACUACGUGCCAGCAGCCGCGGUGAUACGUAGGGUGCGAGCGUUGUCCGGAUUUAUUGGGCGUAAAGGGCUCGUAGGUGGUUGAUCGCGUCGGAAGUGUAAUCUUGGGGCUUAACCCUGAGCGUGCUUUCGAUACGGGUUGACUUGAGGAAGGUAGGGGAGAAUGGAAUUCCUGGUGGAGCGGUGGAAUGCGCAGAUAUCAGGAGGAACACCAGUGGCGAAGGCGGUUCUCUGGGCCUUUCCUGACGCUGAGGAGCGAAAGCGUGGGGAGCGAACAGGCUUAGAUACCCUGGUAGUCCACGCUGUAAACGGUGGGUACUAGGUGUGGGGUCCAUUCCACGGGUUCCGUGCCGUAGCUAACGCUUUAAGUACCCCGCCUGGGGAGUACGGCCGCAAGGCUAAAACUCAAAGGAAUUGACGGGGCCCCGCACAAGCGGCGGAGCAUGCGGAUUAAUUCGAUGCAACGCGUAGAACCUUACCUGGGUUUGACAUGGAUCGGGAGCGCUCAGAGAUGGGUGUGCCUCUUUUGGGGUCGGUUCACAGGUGGUGCAUGGCUGUCGUCAGCUCGUGCCGUGAGAUGUUGGGUUAAGUCCCGCAACGAGCGCAACCCUUGUUCACUGUUGCCAGCACGUUAUGGUGGGGACUCAGUGGAGACCGCCGGGGUCAACUCGGAGGAAGGUGGGGAUGACGUCAAGUCAUCAUGCCCCUUAUGUCCAGGGCUUCACGCAUGCUACAAUGGCUGGUACAGAGAGUGGCGAGCCUGUGAGGGUGAGCGAAUCUCGGAAAGCCGGUCUCAGUUCGGAUUGGGGUCUGCAACUCGACCUCAUGAAGUCGGAGUCGCUAGUAAUCGCAGAUCAGCAACGCUGCGAUGAAUACGUUCCCGGG